RNAcentral lists this ribosomal RNA (253 nucleotides) under uncultured bacterium. RNAcentral describes it as "partial 16S ribosomal RNA". It matches the Rfam family "Bacterial small subunit ribosomal RNA", at positions 524 to 776 of the family's 1533-position model. The record is from RNAcentral.
UACGGAGGGUGCAAACGUUGCUCGGAAUUAUUGGGCGUAAAGCGCACGUAGGCGGCCAUGCAAGCUGGAUGUGAAAGCCCCGGGCUCAACUCGGGAAGUGCACCCAGAACUGCUUGGCUUGAGUUCCGGAGGGGCCCAGAGAAUUCCCGGUGUAGAGGUGAAAUUCGUAGAUAUCGGGAGGAAUACCAGUGGCGAAGGCGGGUCUCUGGGCCGAUACUGACGCUGAGGAGCGAAAGCGUGGGGAGCGAACAGG